UAAGGCCCUUGUCCCAGGACUUGACAUCAGGAACAGAGAUGGGUCUAACCUGGGAGCAGGAAGUCCAGCACUGCUGACAUGCUGACAGCAUGAUCUCCUGCCAUUCUGCCAAAAUCGAAGCUCACCCUGAAUUUUUUUUUUUUUGGCUGAGCCCAGAAAGAGUUCUGGAGCCAGGGAUUGAACCCAAGCUGCAGCAGUGACGACAUCGGCUCCUUAAUCCCUAGGCCACCAGGGAACUCCAAUGAUUUAAUUUUUUGAAACACUGGGUCCAAAGUAAUAAAAUGGAGGCAGAAGUGGGGGGCAGUAUGCGGUGACCCUCCAUUUUCUUAAAUCCUGCUUGGGUAUGGUUCCUAGGAGGGACCAGAAAGUGAUGCUGGCCCAGGUACACCAGCUUCCACAGCCUGUGACAAAGCCCGGGCGGGGAACAGCCUCCCCCGGGGCCCCCUGGAAGUGUUUUUGCUCUGAAUCCUAUCAGUUUGAGGCACUGUGCGAGGCCCGAGUGGGGAUUUCAGAACAGGGUCCACCUUGGGAGGCUGAGGGAGAGGGACUGUCCUUCUCAGGCCUCUCCGUGGCCUCAUUCUCGCCUCCUCUUAGACUUGGAUUCUGAUACGAAAAUACAUCAGCGUUAUCCCUAAACUGGGUCAGCUUACCAAGGCUAUAAAUACAUAGUUGAAUUUCAUGUUCAGUAAAAGCCAAAAGUCAAAAUUCCCAAAUGCAUUUUUAGAAUGCCGGCUGGCAGGCCGACAAACGGGAUUUAGCAGCAACUAGGCUUGUUGACAGCUUGCUUCUCACUUCUCUCCACCAACAAGACCUACACCACAGGGCGGCUCCGAGCUUUGCAGCACCUGCCAGGGGAUGCAGCCCAGUCCAAAACACAAUGAGAACCGCGUCUGACCCCUCUGGACCCCCCAUGUCUCCUUUGUGUGUAUAAACUAUAUAUUACUGUGAAUUUUGAAACCCACAGCCUUCUCCCCAUGUGAAUCUCCAUUUAAUUUCUCUAAGGCAGUUCAAAGAGGCUGAGAAGUCCUGGUCAUGCUUCUGGUUCUGCAGCGUUGAGUACAUCUUGGUAAGAUGUUUUGAGAUAUUGUAAUUUUUCUGGAAGUGUUACUUUUUUAAUUUGUUUUAUUUUUUUAAUUUUUUUUUGUUUUGGUCUUUUUGUUACUUUUUUAAAAUUGAAGUAUAGUUGAUUUACAAUGUUUCAGGAGUACAGAAAAGUGAUUCAGGUACGAAUAUAUAUGUAUAGUCCUUUUCAGCUUCUUUUCUAGUAUAGGUUAUUACCGGGCGUUGAAUACAGUUCCCUGUGCUAUACGGUAGGUCCUGGUUUACUUUACUUUUGAAGAACUUAAAAGUUCUGGGCAAGAUUAGACCAAAGGUAGGGAAGGUAGAGAUAGGAUGAAGGAUACAUUUCUCCCUGGUAGCAGAGCGCCAGGCUUCUCCAACUGGAAUACUGACCAUGGGUAAUGCGGAAGUAGUCCUGGUGGAUACAGGCUGGGGGCAGGUGCCAACAUCUGCUUUUCUUUGCUUUUUAAGCCACACCCAUAUGGAGGUUCCCAGGCUAGGGGUCCAAUCGGAGCUUUAGCUGCCAGCCUACACCACAGCUCGUGGCAACCCUGGAUCCUUAACCCCCUAAGCGAGGCCAGGGAUCGAACCUGCAUCCUCAUAGAUACUAGUCGGAUUCCUUUCCACUGCGCCACAACAGACACUCCACAAUCUACAUUUUUGACAAGUUUCCAGGUGCCAAGAUGCUGCUGGACCAAAGACCUUACUUGAAGGAGAGGGUGCAGACUGCACCCUGGGUAUUUCGGGGAAUGAGCAGCUCCCAUCCGUUCAAAAUCCAGGUUGACAGAAACCGGCGCACCUGAUGCCAGCGGAGGCCAAGGGCUGCCUGAUGUUUAAGGUCCUGAUGUGGACGGAUGGCCCAGCUCCAUGGUCUGGGCACAGUCCUUUCUCUCCCCAUCUCUGCCGCUUCGUCUGAAAAACGGGAACAGUCGUAGUACCCACCUUAUUGGGGUUAUUGUGAAUUGACUUGGAGGAACACACAGCGAGGCUUCAGCACGCGGGGCCGCGUGCUGCUGUCAUCAGCACAGAGACAAGGAUUCUUUCUAGGUUGACGUCCAAACAAGGCAUGUUUGAAGCAGGACAGGAAAGGCAUGGUGCUCCCCCACCCCCACUGCCCUCCCCCUCUGAUCCUCGUUUAUCCCGUGUUGCUGUGGCUCUGGCGUAGGCCAGCGGCUACAACUCCAAUUCACCCCAGCCUGGGAACCUCCAUAUGCCGCGCGGGAGCGGCCCAAGAAAUGGCAAAAAGACAAAAACAAAAAAAAAAAAAAGUAAAAUUUGGACUAUUCUCAAGGAGUUUGCCUCAAAACCUGUGUGCGGCUUUCUCCAAACAUCUCUGCUUGCUCAGUCCCUCCCCUGCCAGAGGCCCCUUCUCCCUAAAGCAUCUUGGGAGGCCUGUAUGGGCUCAGACACGUACAAAAGAAGGAACCAAACAGCAGUGGAGACAGAGGUGGCAACGCCUGAGAUGCAUUCAGGGAAGGAAGGGAAAAACUUUUGAACAGAUUUCUAGGUCAUGUGGUGUCUUGAAGUUUCUGUCUCAGGCUAUAUUUUUAAACAACUAAAGACAAAGCAUACCCCAGGGAGGAGAGCUGCUGGGGUUCUGGCAAGCUCUAAUCAGCAGACUGCAUUUCAUCCAGCCCGAGGGCAAGGCUGGAAGGGGCGAGGGCCUGGGGUCUUCCUUCUCUGCCCCAUCCGCCCCAGGGGGGCAAAGUGCCAGCAAUGGAGCAAGCUUUGGGUUCAAAUGACCUCACACACUCAUCGAAGGAGGGCCCUGCCCCCAUUACCUCAGAAAUGCAGACUCCAAGUCUCCUCGGCAAACAGUCUGCCUGUGACUUGAACUUGAGAGUCCUGGGGCCAACAUCUGAGCUCCCGAGAGCGCCCAGGCACGAAAGGUCAGAAGACCAGUUUUCAACAACUAGAAGCCUUUGGCAGGGGCAGGCUGGUUCUGCCGGGCCCAUGAGCCAGUACCUAGUUGGCACUUGAUGUUGACCUUUGCCCCUCAAGCGCUCCGGCCUCCUGUGACCCCGUGGUGAUUGGGGUUAUUUCUGAACCUGCUCUUUGGCUUGCUCUGUCUCCUAAUCCUCAAGAAAAGCUGACCAUCAAACACUUCAUCUGAUUUAGGGUUUGCCUUCAUCUGAGGUGCGUGUGUGUUUGUGUGUGUGUGUGUGUGUUGUGUGUUUUAGUUCUUAAUUUCUCAGGAAGUUCAAUACCAAUGGGAGCUGAAUCAAUAAUUACCGUAGAUGGUAUCCAACUCCCUGGGAUUAGGCCCAGGAAAAUCAGCUUUUAAAAGAUCUGAAGACCAUGUGACUGCGAGGCCUGCCAAGCAUCCAGCCACUCUUGGAAGAAAAAAAGAAAAAAAGCUGACAACUGAACUAAUUUUCUCCACACAUAACCGAGGAGGACACACUCCGUGACUUUUAGAAGGAAAUAAAGGACCAGAGCCUGGUUUAUUUAUACAGAUGCAAAGACUCCUCCACCAGGGGGUGGGACUCCUUCUCCAGCACCUCCUCUCUCGCGUAUCCCGGUUUCUCACUCCACACGGAAAGGGCAUUAAGAGGGAAACCCAAACCCAUGCCCGACUCAGUGUGGACAAGCGUUUGAGUCCAUCUAGGUUGGCAUCCUUGACGUCAGAGACCAGCAGUUGCCACGCCCUACGCAGGGUCUGCUCUUGUCAGGUCACCCCGACCCGGAAGGGUGUGGCAGUAGCUUCCGUCACAUCCCGCUGGAGAAUUCCCUGGAUCUAAUCCAUAGGAGAAAACAUCCACCUUUCCCAGAAUUCAUGAGGAUCUACUCCCUCCUCCUCCUCCCAAGCGCUUCCUCAGCCAUUUGAGACACUGAUCCCCAAGAUAAGGCUCCUGCUGGAGGCUGCCAACCGCCCCCAUCAAUGCCCCACAAAGGCGUCUCUUAAAGAUGGAGACGUUCCCACACCAGAAGACUCACGACGCCAGCAACCCUGGCGACCAACAGAGACGUGCAAAGGCAACACGGGCAUCGUGUUCUUAGAUAUUUUAGAGUCUUGACAGUUGGUUUAAAAUCUGCUUGGCUCUGUUGUUGAGAACCAAAGAAAACUGGAGAUAACCCACACUUCUAUUUCUUUUUGAGAGGAAAUGAUAAAAUCCUGCAGACUAGCCUUGAUUUUAAUUUACUCUCUUCUAUGCUUGACCCUACCACAAAACACUCUAUGAAAUCUGUUUUGAUACGGUGUUGUAUGCCCUCCUUUAUUCCAUCUUUAUCGACCUCAUCUGGUUAACUGUGAUUUGGCUAUUUUUUCCAGCUCUAGUGAGAUAUAUGAUUGACAUGUAACAUUGUGUAAGUUUAGGGUCUGCAGUAUGUGCGUUGAUCCACACACAGGUUGUAAAAUGAUUACUAUGCUAGCCUUAGCUAACACUGCCAUCACAUCGCAUAAUUAUCAUUUCUUCUUUGCUGUUAGAACAUGCAAGAACUACUCUCUCGGAGUUCCCAUCGUGGCGCAGUGGUUAAUGAAUCCGACUAGGAACCAUGAGGUGGCGGGUUCGAUCCCUGACCUUGCUCAGUGGGUUAACGAUCCGGUGUUGCCAUGAGCUGUGGUGUAGGUCACAGACUCGGCUUGGAUCCCGCGUUGCUGUGGCUCUGGCGUAGGCUGGCAGCUCCAGCUCCGAUUGGACCCCUAGCCUGGGAACCUCCAUGUGCCGCGGGAGCAGCCCUAGAAAUGG
Molecule: long non-coding RNA, 4748 nt
Filed under: Sus scrofa (pig)
Lineage: Eukaryota; Metazoa; Chordata; Mammalia; Artiodactyla; Suidae
Description: lncRNA (ENSSSCG00000061875.1)
Source: RNAcentral